CUCGCCUUUCGCCGGAUCGCCGUUAGCGAUGGCCUGCGCGAUGGUCAUG
RNAcentral lists this small RNA (49 nucleotides) under Sinorhizobium meliloti 2011. Its description in RNAcentral is "putative ncRNA". Lineage: Bacteria; Pseudomonadati; Pseudomonadota; Alphaproteobacteria; Hyphomicrobiales; Rhizobiaceae. The record is from RNAcentral.